This 429-nucleotide ribosomal RNA is filed under the name Arthrobacter sp. RNAcentral describes it as "bacterial SSU rRNA". It matches the Rfam family "Bacterial small subunit ribosomal RNA", at positions 21 to 449 of the family's 1533-position model. The record is from RNAcentral. Lineage: Bacteria; Bacillati; Actinomycetota; Actinomycetes; Micrococcales; Micrococcaceae.
GGCUCAGGAUGAACGCGGGCGGCGUGCUUAACACAUGCAAGUCGAACGAUGAUCCCCAGCUUGCUGGGGGGAUUAGUGGCGAACGGGUGAGUAACACGUGAGUAACCUGCCCUUAACUCUGGGAUAAGCCUGGGAAACUGGGUUUAAUACCGGAUAUGACUCCUCAUCGCAUGGUGGGGGGUGGAAAGCUUUUUGUGGUUUUGGAUGGACUCGCGGCCUAUCAGCUUGUUGGUGAGGUAAUGGCUUACCAAGGCGACGACGGGUAGCCGGCCUGAGAGGGUGACCGGCCACACUGGGACUGAGACACGGCCCAGACUCCUACGGGAGGCAGCAGUGGGGAAUAUUGCACAAUGGGCGCAAGCCUGAUGCAGCGACGCCGCGUGAGGGAUGACGGCCUUCGGGUUGUAAACCUCUUUCAGUAGGGAAGAA